AGGAGCUCGCCCUGCACCUCCAGGCCUUCCUCCAGACCUGGAGAAACAUCGGUCAGAUCAGACCAAACAGAAAAACAUCUCCAGCAGAGUCACGGUAACGAAGCAGUGCCCCACGUCUUCUGGGAGCUGUUCGUAGUUCUCCAGUUCCUUCAGGAAGAUACUGAGGAACACAGAGAUGUCCUGGAUGUUUCCGAACACGACGUCGUCCUUGUUGGUGAGUCCAGGUGGGAUUUCCUCCGAGCCGCUGGUCAUCUCCCACAGGUACG
Long non-coding RNA from Xiphophorus maculatus (southern platyfish), 266 nucleotides. RefSeq lists it as uncharacterized. The record is from RefSeq and is a predicted model, not a curated record. The transcript is spliced from 3 exons. Lineage: Eukaryota; Metazoa; Chordata; Actinopteri; Cyprinodontiformes; Poeciliidae.